AAGCGGUGGAGGCAUGUGGUUUAAUUCGAAGCAACGCGAAAAACCUUACCAAGUCUUGACAUCCUGAUGACGGUUCCUUAACCGGAACUUUUCUUCGGAACAUCAGAGACAGGUGGUGCAUGGUUGUCGUCAGCUCGUGUCGUGAGAUGUUGGGUUAAGUCCCGCAACGAGCGCAACCCCUAUUUCCAGUAGCCAGCAGUAAGAUGGGCACUCUGGAGAGACUGCCGGGGAUAACCCGGA
RNAcentral lists this ribosomal RNA (240 nucleotides) under uncultured bacterium. RNAcentral's name for it is "partial 16S ribosomal RNA". It matches the Rfam family "Bacterial small subunit ribosomal RNA", at positions 927 to 1167 of the family's 1533-position model. The record is from RNAcentral.